UACGAAGGUGGCUAGCGUUGUUCGGAAUUACUGGGCGUAAAGCGCGCGUAGGCGGCUAUUCAAGUCAGAGGUGAAAUGCCAGGGCUUAACCCUGGAACUGCCUUUGAAACUGUAUAGCUGGAGUGUCGGAGGGGAUGGCGGAAUUCCUAAUGUAGAGGUGAAAUUCGUAGAUAUUAGGAGGAACACCGGUGGCGAAGGCGGCCAUCUGGACGACAACUGACGCUGAGGCGCGAAAGCGUGGGGAUCAAACAGG
RNAcentral lists this ribosomal RNA (253 nucleotides) under uncultured bacterium. RNAcentral describes it as "partial 16S ribosomal RNA". It matches the Rfam family "Bacterial small subunit ribosomal RNA", at positions 524 to 776 of the family's 1533-position model. The record is from RNAcentral.